UAUUUCAGUAUUUCAUCUCUUACCCUCCCCCUAUUCCUCACUGGAAUUCAUACAAUCCUAGAAAUUGAACACCACCAUGAAACAAUCAUCCAAACAUAUUAUUCCACUUUCAGGCUUAAGAAAAUGAGGUUAAAGACACAGGCCCCCCACCCAAACCUUUAGCGAGUUUUAGACCAAAUAUAUGUGAAGGGCCUUUUCCAAAAGGAAUAGUAACUAGAAGCCAAAAAUAAAGCACUGAAAUAAAAUCCCACUUUGAAUUAUGUAUAAGCAAAGUACAUUAGUAAAAUCCAAAUGUACUUUAGGAAUAGAGAUCUGCUAUUUGCUAGGAUUGGAAUUUCAUUAUUGAAAAGGAAGGGAAAAAACAGAAGUAAUAAAAUUAGUUGUACUUAGUAUUGAUGACAAACACGCUCCAUAUUUGAUGAUUGUCUCCUGAGUCCAUCAGUACAGUUGGAGCUGCUUUUAAUGGGUUAAAACUCAUUAAGAGGAGAGUUGUCUCUUGAGCUGAGGUGUUGGAACAUGAAAGUCUGAUUAUUUUUCCUUCUUUUGUUUAUUCAUUCAUUUGUUCAUCAUGAAACUCAUUCUCUGCCUGGUACUGAGGAAGGAUGUUAAUGCAAGAACCACCCCUACUCUUGAGGGCCUUCCCAGUUUCCUUCAGGAUUUAAGCUCCCUGGCCUCAUUCCAGACAUUGGUCACCAAGUCCGCUAUUACAUUGGAUGAUUAAAGGUAUGUGGAUAUCAAGGAGAGAGCAGGCAGGGAAUUACAUUUGAUGGGCUCCAUUAGUCUUCUGUGGUUCAGGUAAGGUCAGCACAGGAUAUUGUUCAAACUCUAAAUUCUGGUACUUUGUUCCUGGGCAUAGAUGCUCUAACAUUCAGAGGUUUUUGCUGCCUUUUGAAAGGUGUCAAACUCAUAAUCUCACACAGAGUACACCAGAAUGAGGGACACUGACCAGCUCUAACCCAUCUCUAGGCACUAGGUCAUCUUGUCUCAAAAGACCUGUAUAAAAGUAGGCUAUUUCAUGCAAGGAAACUGCAGUUAGGAAAAUUACAUAUAAAAAGUGUGGGGUGGAGUUCCCGUCGUGGCUCUGUGGUUAAUGAGCCCGACUAGUAUCCAUGAGGCUGUGGGUUCCAUUCCUGGCCUCGAUCAGUGGGUUAAGGAUCUGGCGUUGCCAUGAGCUGUGGUGUAGGUCGCAGAAGCAAUUCGGAUCCCAUGUUGCUGUGGCCCUGACGUAGGCCAGCGGCUACAGCUCCAAUUAGACCCCUAGCCUGGGAACCUCCGUAUGCCAUGGGUGCAGCCCUAAAAAGACAAAAAGAAAAAAAGAAAAAAAAGUGUGAGGUGAUACUUUCUAGGCACUGUGGCAAAAUGAGGGUAGAUGAUAGGAGAGGAAAAAGCUAACCUUUCUCUAUUCUCGCCAUAUAUUUUGAAAUUUGAACAGUCCUUGAAUUUAUUUCCUUUUUUCUGAUUUAAAAAUUGAAAUCGUUUAUUAUCCCUCAAUCAGGAGGAAACACUGUCGAAUUUUUUUGUGUACUUUCUAUCUCAUUUCUUUGCAUACAUGUGUGUAUGUGUAUAAAUCAAAUUGGUAUUUUUAUUACUUAGCCACUUUUCUUUUGAUGGACACUAGAGAGGUUGCACGCCCUGGACCAAUGCAGAAUACAAAGCAUUUUUGUUAAUUAGCUAUCUAUGCCAUAUUGGGCUUUUCAUUCCUUUUUGUAUCACAAGAUCGUUUCUCUUGCUGAUUCAUCUCCUGCCAUAUCUUUUACAUUCUCUCUAUGUCCAUUGCCACUUCUCUGUACAACUCUUGUUACCUUUCUUCCCUUCCUUUCCUCCAAAACUGUCCUCAUAAAGGUUGCUGAAGUUCUAGUUAUUAAUAAUCCAGUGAUGCCCAGUUUAUCUAUUUGUUUCACUUGUUCCUGUGCGUCUAUUAUUUUGGUACUAAGAAACCAUCAAGGAUACAAAGAGUCAUGGCCUAUGUGCUCUUCUGAGAGUUUUAUAGUUUUAGUUCUUACAUUUAGCUGUUACAAAAAGGCAUUUAUUAAGGGGGUAUUUUACAGAAUUAGGAGGGUUUGAAGAAAUGGACUCUAGCUUUGGCUUCCAGGAACAACCCUCUCGAUCACAUUAUAGAACUGGGUUGCCAGAGAGAUGUGGUCUUGACCUUGACCACGAAGCUGGUACGCCCCUCUAGCUCCAGAACCACCCUAUCCUGCCAUGGUCUCCACCAGCAAAAUGAUUGCCUUGUGUCCCAUCCAUCUUCCACAUUCAACUCAGAGCCUCAGUCUCUUCAUUUAUAAACUGUGAGGGGCAUCUACCUCCAGGGUGUAUCUAGCACAUUUCACAAUUCGUGGGGCCUAAGCACAUGCCAGUGAUAUGGAUGUAGAUUGUAAAUGACUCGUUAGGACUUACCGGUGCCAACCAGCUGAAUAUUAACAGUCUUGACAGUAUUACAAGAAUUAAAUGAGCUUGGUACUGUAAUGCCAAGUGACAAGGGUUAUUUGAUGGUCCUGGGUACCUAUGGCAUGCCUGGUCUGACUGAGAUUACUCAGGGUAGCAGUGGUCAGACAGGUGAAAAUCCUAGAAACACCCCCCAAGACCUUAAAAGAGAGAGAAUGCUCUCACAGAUACAGACAAGAAUCUAAGCACUUGGACUCCUGCCUCUGAGCUCUUGACCUGAGCAUAACCUGGGCACACAGGAAAGAGAGCUGGGUGGUGUUUGGUCAGUCAAGGGGGAGACUGCUCCAGUUCUCAACUGUUAUUCUAGCAAAACAGGUGGAUGGAUUUGAGCCCAAGAGGUAAGAAGUGAGCAAAAUAACCAGGAUCGUUAGGCUUUGGGGUAUGCUUUGCAUGAGAAUGAUGGACACUAAACCUGUCGGAAGGAAAGGCGUGUACAGGAGUAAACAUGCCAGAGACUGGAGUCCAGAACCUUGAAAGUUUAAUGAGGACAGUUAGUGAAGCAGUACCCUGUGAUGAAUCACAUCAAAAGCACUGCUUAAAUCAAGUGGGAUCAUGGUGGACAAUACCAUUUAAUUUAACUGCUUAAAGGUCAUUUGAAACUCUUAAUAGUGCACUGGCAGGAGGACUUGGCUUCUAAAUCCAGGCAGAUAAAGGUGCAUUAGGUCUCCAGAGUGGAGGACUUAAGAUCUGAGCCAGCCCGGCAGAGCUGGUGCACCUGAAUAGAUGAGAAGAAGCAAGAGGAGACAGAUGAAAGUGAAACGGAGUCACUGCGGGUUUUUUACUUCUUUUAAUUUUUUAGAGAUCUCCUCACUGGAGGGCCUAAAAAGUGAUGUUAAGAAAGUAAUAAAUGAGUACAAGGUUAUUACAGGGAAUAUUGCUGUCAUGUUUUGUGAGCAAAUGAACAUGUUAUAUAAGUAGUUAUAAUGGCGGUACACAAGGUAGAGUUUCAUAUUUUCAGAAAAUAAAGAUUACAACUGAAUGUAUCUGGUGCAUAUUUAAUGAAGAGCAUAAUCAAGGGAUAUUGGAGCUGUAAAGGAACCGGCCAGUUGUCAGGUUCAGCCUCCUCAUUUGUGCAAAUGAGGAAAACAAAUUUGGAGAUGACUCUGGUAUCCUGAGUUUACACAGUCACCAGGGAUGGAUCCAGGAUUAGCACUCAGGCCUCUCAUGCUGUACUGGCCCAUCUACUUCAUUGUUACUGGGCUGCAGGAGCCUUAGCUAUAAACAGACACUUCAGGUUUUUGCGCUGUAACUAAACAGACUCUGGGGAGGCAGCUGGGAGAGGGAGAAUCAGAUUGAGCCAGAGUUGCUCAGGAGAUCCUGAAAAGCUAUGAAUUUGGAACCCAAAGGACAGAGCCUCCCUCUCCUCAGGGAAAGGGUGUCUAGGGUUUGGGCAUUUGCCUGCUCAUCCUUUGUGCUCACCUGCCUGCCCAGCUACUACACCUGUCAGGUGGCUGCUGGACUUGGACCAUGAGUCAAGAGAAGGAGUACUCCCAAAUUAGUCCCUUUCUGCUGGUGACGAUCUUUAAUCUCACCAUUGAAAUACACAGCUCCCUUUUCUCAUUUUUCUUUUGAAUGGAUUGCCUUUCCUUGUCUGUUUGCUUUCUUGUUUUCUUAUUCCAUUUCCCCUUUUUACUGAUUGGGAAGUUACAGCCUCUAUUUUUAAAUUUUUAGUGUUUGUCCUUGAAACAUUAAUAUGCAUACUUAUCACAGUAUUAUUGAGCAUUUUAAUCUUUUUUAAACCCUAAAAAUUAGCAGUUGUUAUUAUUUUAUAUAGUUAGUUUUUAUAUUUACUCCCAUGUUUACCACUUUCUUUAUUCAUAGUCCUUUCUCAGCCCUGUCUUUUCUUCUCAAGUAUAUCCUCCCUUUAGGUACAGGUCCUUUCGAUGGCAAAUUCCCUUUGUUUGGUUGCUGCACUUGUGUUCUUGUAAAGCUACAUAAUUCUUUGUUGACAGUUAUUUUCUCUCACCAGAGAUUUUGCCACCCUUUCGUGGCUUCCUGUGUAAGCUGUGGGCAAGUUGGGUAUCGGUCUCAUUGUCAUUACUGGUAACAAAGAUGUGUUUUUUCUCUUGAGUAUUUUUGGGACCAUCUUUGUCUUUCUUAUUUCAUGGUUUUACUACAGCAGGUCUAGGUGGGGAUUUUUUUUUUUUUCCUUUUCCUUUAUCUGUGUGCUUCUUACCUGUGUAUUAAAGUCUCAUG
RNAcentral lists this long non-coding RNA (4641 nucleotides) under Sus scrofa (pig). Its description in RNAcentral is "lncRNA (ENSSSCG00060062476.1)". The record is from RNAcentral. Lineage: Eukaryota; Metazoa; Chordata; Mammalia; Artiodactyla; Suidae.